Procambarus clarkii (red swamp crayfish) is the source of this 1158-nucleotide non-coding RNA. NCBI's taxonomy places the organism in Eukaryota, Metazoa, Arthropoda, Malacostraca, Decapoda, Cambaridae. The record is from RefSeq and is a predicted model, not a curated record.
CUGAGGUAGUCAUUGCCAUGUUCGAUAAUGUACUCCACCCACCACACUGCUCUCUCCAGCCCCGUCUCCUUCUGCGCCUUCAGCCGUCGCGACAAGCUCUGCACACGCUCCAGGUACCUGGUGUCAUUGACGACGGUGUGGACAGCGUCGACGAGGGCGCGAGGUGUGAGGUGCUCCCACUGGAGGACGAGGCCCUCGCCACGGCGGGCCAGCCUGGCGCAGGUCCUGGGCUGGUCGAAGGUGAUGGGCAGGCCCACCAUCGGCACCCCGUGGUACACCGCCUCGGCGGCACUGUGUUUCCCGCAGUGGGUCACGAAGGCCUUCGUCGCCGGGUGACCUGUGGGACGCAAACACACUUCCAAAUGAAUAUCACUCAUGUUGCAGUACAUUUAUGACAUUAACAGGUAUAUAUUUUGUGAUUUAGACAAUGCCAAACAUCUCAGACUCCUGCUUCAAGCACAACCGUGACAGAUAAACCAUCAGGACAUAAAACAAUAUCUGUCAUGUGCUGAAUAUUAAGUCAACAAAAGGUUACUUUUCAAAUUCAGAUUAGUUUCAUAUUAAUAAAACGUAUGUUUGGUCUACGUUCUCAACAUACAAUCAGGGAUCCCGGGUUCGAUCCCCAAGUGGGACAGAAAUGGUUGGGCAUGUUUCCUUUCAGCAAAUGAGCCUGUUCACCUAGCGACAAAUAGGUAGCCUAAUAUAAGCGUCGACAGCGUUUAUGGGCUAUUCAUGUCCGUGCCACCUCUUGGGUGGCUUAAUCUUCAUUAAUCAACGACAGUGUCAGUCUGUCUAAAUUCGUAUAGAUGCUUGAGAGACUCCACACAUCUUCACCAUUCACCAGCAACAAUGCAACACUCGUCGUGUCCAGUUCCUGCCCUCACAAGACGCUGAGGCCUCGACAAAGAGCAGACAGCCAGACUCCGGCCGCAUCCAGCUUCAACGCUCUCGUCCAGCACUGGAGCUCUUCGACUCCGUCCGCAUUCUGAGCGCCACACACUACACACACACUCACCCCACAUCCGGGCUCUCCACCCCGGCCUCACUCAGCUCUUUACCCUGUUCCAGAGUUCGUCUCAACUACUACAACACUUCACUACACUGCUAACAACCCGGCUGCUGUAACCAAGACUAUACUAAAUAAAUAAUAAAAAAAUC